UACGGAGGGUGCAAGCGUUAUCCGGAUUCACUGGGUUUAAAGGGAGCGUAGGUGGGUUGGCAAGUCAGUGGUGAAAUCCCCGAGCUUAACUUGGGAACUGCCAUUGAUACUAUCAGUCUUGAAUACUGUGGAGGUUAGCGGAAUAUGUCAUGUAGCGGUGAAAUGCUUAGAUAUGACAUAGAACACCAAUUGCGAAGGCAGCUGGCUACACAAUUAUUGACACUGAGGCUCGAAAGCGUGGGGAUCAAACAGG
RNAcentral lists this ribosomal RNA (253 nucleotides) under uncultured bacterium. RNAcentral's name for it is "partial 16S ribosomal RNA". It matches the Rfam family "Bacterial small subunit ribosomal RNA", at positions 524 to 776 of the family's 1533-position model. The record is from RNAcentral.